RNAcentral lists this long non-coding RNA (730 nucleotides) under Phoenix dactylifera (date palm). RNAcentral's name for it is "long non-coding RNA (PDAC_LNC014363)". The record is from RNAcentral. Lineage: Eukaryota; Viridiplantae; Streptophyta; Magnoliopsida; Arecales; Arecaceae.
GAGCGCCAAGAGGCGCCCAACCAAAAUAACCAAGUAGGGAUGCUCGGCUAGAAAGAGCCGACCAGAAGAACGCCGACCAGAGAAGCGCUCGAACUAGGAAGCGCCGACCAAAGACAGCGCCAAAUAGAGGCGCUCGGCUAGAAGGUGCUCGCCCAAAGGGCGUCGACCAGAAGUACUAGAAGCAACCCCGCCACAGGGCGCCCCUCUGGGCGACCAGCUCGGCUCGGCACUCUUGCCGAGCCGAUGCCUUAACUAAUACUCCUCCCCGCCUAGCUUUCUCGAAAGGUCCGGCGGCUAUACACGCGACUCUACUACAACCUGCCACUAUCUCCAAGCCAUCAAGGCAUAAGAUCUCCGCAGGUAUUCGGCACGACCUGCCAUUAAUGCAUGAGACUCCCUCAAGUCUCCAAUGCACUCAGUCAUUUAAUGAACACGGCUCAAGACGAUCUCCGGAUCGCUGAACCAUCAAAGCGUAUGGCUCUCCCUGACCGUCGGUUCAUUCGGUAAUAAAUGCACUUACCAUCUACAGACCCCAGGCCCACCACAGCCGGCGAUUCAACCACUCCAACAGGUCCGAUCGACCAUGACAACUCCCUGGUUCCGGUCUGAUUCGGUCCCGUUCUCCACUACGCCAUUAAUGGGCCAAAUCAUGCCCAAUUAUGACGAAAAGAGACAAAUUCUCCUGCCACCUCCCAGGUAACGUAAUUCCCUUCUAUAAAAGGAAACCUGA